Molecule: ribosomal RNA, 381 nt
Filed under: uncultured eukaryote
Lineage: Eukaryota
Description: partial 18S ribosomal RNA
Rfam family: Eukaryotic small subunit ribosomal RNA
Source: RNAcentral
CAAUAGCGUAUAUUAAAGCUGUUGCGGUUAAAAAGCUCGUAGUUGGAUUUCUGUCAAGGACAACUGGUCCGCCCCUCGGGUGAGCACAUAGUUUGGUCUUGGCAUCUUGUUGGAAACUGUUGCUGCACUUGGUUGUGUGGCGCAGUGUCCAGCACUUUCACUUUGAGGAAAUUGGAGUGUUUCAAGCAGGCACAUGCCUUUGGACACAGUAGCAUGGAAUAAUUGGAUUGGGCUUUUGCUCCAACUUGUCGGUUUCUGGAGCUGAGGUGAGAAUUAAUGGGGAUUGUUGGGGGCAUCCGAAUUUAGCCGUCAGAGGUGAAAUUCUUGGAUCUGCUAAAGACGGACAACUGCGAAAGCGUUUGCCCAGGAUGUUUUCAUUGA